This 601-nucleotide ribosomal RNA is filed under the name Klebsiella pneumoniae. Its description in RNAcentral is "bacterial SSU rRNA". It matches the Rfam family "Bacterial small subunit ribosomal RNA", at positions 89 to 686 of the family's 1533-position model. Lineage: Bacteria; Pseudomonadati; Pseudomonadota; Gammaproteobacteria; Enterobacterales; Enterobacteriaceae. The record is from RNAcentral.
UGACGAGCGGCGGACGGGUGAGUAAUGUCUGGGAAACUGCCUGAUGGAGGGGGAUAACUACUGGAAACGGUAGCUAAUACCGCAUAAUGUCGCAAGACCAAAGUGGGGGACCUUCGGGCCUCAUGCCAUCAGAUGUGCCCAGAUGGGAUUAGCUAGUAGGUGGGGUAACGGCUCACCUAGGCGACGAUCCCUAGCUGGUCUGAGAGGAUGACCAGCCACACUGGAACUGAGACACGGUCCAGACUCCUACGGGAGGCAGCAGUGGGGAAUAUUGCACAAUGGGCGCAAGCCUGAUGCAGCCAUGCCGCGUGUAUGAAGAAGGCCUUCGGGUUGUAAAGUACUUUCAGCGGGGAGGAAGGCGAUAAGGUUAAUAACCUUGUCGAUUGACGUUACCCGCAGAAGAAGCACCGGCUAACUCCGUGCCAGCAGCCGCGGUAAUACGGAGGGUGCAAGCGUUAAUCGGAAUUACUGGGCGUAAAGCGCACGCAGGCGGUCUGUCAAGUCGGAUGUGAAAUCCCCGGGCUCAACCUGGGAACUGCAUUCGAAACUGGCAGGCUAGAGUCUUGUAGAGGGGGGUAGAAUUCCAGGUGUAGCGGUGAAA